RNAcentral lists this ribosomal RNA (497 nucleotides) under uncultured bacterium. RNAcentral describes it as "partial 16S ribosomal RNA". It matches the Rfam family "Bacterial small subunit ribosomal RNA", at positions 28 to 507 of the family's 1533-position model. The record is from RNAcentral.
GAUGAACGCUGGCGGCGUGCCUAACACAUGCAAGUCGAACGAACGGACGCGAAUUUUGCUUCUCUGAUGUUAGCGGCGGACGGGUGAGUAACACGUGGACAACCUCCCUAUUAGACUUUAGUCACUUCGAGUACCCGUAACUACUGCCUGAUAAUAUUUUUAACCGCAUGGUUCAAAAGUGACAUCCGUUCUUGCUGUCCCUUAUUGCUGGCUCCGCGCUGCAUUAGCUAGUUGGUACGGUAACGGCUUACCAAGGCAACGAUGCAUAGCCGACCUGAGAGGGUGAUCGGCCACACUGGAACUGAGACACGGUCCAGACUCCUACGGGAGGCAGCAGUAGGGAAUCUUCGGCAAUGGGCGAAAGCCUGACGGAGCAACGCCGCGUGAGUGAAGAAGGUCUUCGGAUCGUAAAACUCUGUUAUUAGGGAAGAACAUAUGUGCAAGUAACUGUGCACAUCGUGACGGUACCUAAACAAAAAGCAACGGCUAACUACGUG